GAUGAACGCUGGCGGCGUGCCUAAUACAUGCAAGUCGAGCGAACGGACGAGAAGCUUGCUUCUCUGAUGUUAGCGGCGGACGGGUGAGUAACACGUGGAUAACCUACCUAUAAGACUGGGAUAACUUCGGGAAACCGGAGCUAAUACCGGAUGAUAUUUUGAACCGCAUGGUUCAAAAGUGAAAGACGGUCUUGCUGUCACUUAUAGAUGGAUCCGCGCUGCAUUAGCUAGUUGGUAAGGUAACGGCUUACCAAGGCAACGAUGCAUAGCCGACCUGAGAGGGUGAUCGGCCACACUGGAACUGAGACACGGUCCAGACUCCUACGGGAGGCAGCAGUAGGGAAUCUUCCGCAAUGGGCGAAAGCCUGACGGAGCAACGCCGCGUGAGUGAUGAAGGUCUUCGGAUCGUAAAACUCUGUUAUUAGGGAAGAACAUAUGUGUAAGUAACUGUGCACAUCUUGACGGUACCUAAUCAGAAAGCCACGGCUAACUACGUGCCAGCAGCCGCGGUAAUACGUAGGUGGCAAGCGUUAUCCGGAAUUAUUGGGCGUAAAGCGCGCGUAGGCGGUUUUUUAAGUCUGAUGUGAAAGCCCACGGCUCAACCGUGGAGGGUCAUUGGAAACUGGAAAACUUGAGUGCAGAAGAGGAAAGUGGAAUUCCAUGUGUAGCGGUGAAAUGCGCAGAGAUAUGGAGGAACACCAGUGGCGAAGGCGACUUUCUGGUCUGUAACUGACGCUGAUGUGCGAAAGCGUGGGGAUCAAACAGGAUUAGAUACCCUGGUAGUCCACGCCGUAAACGAUGAGUGCUAAGUGUUAGGGGGUUUCCGCCCCUUAGUGCUGCAGCUAACGCAUUAAGCACUCCGCCUGGGGAGUACGACCGCAAGGUUGAAACUCAAAGGAAUUGACGGGGACCCGCACAAGCGGUGGAGCAUGUGGUUUAAUUCGAAGCAACGCGAAGAACCUUACCAAAUCUUGACAUCCUUUGACAACUCUAGAGAUAGAGCCUUCCCCUUCGGGGGACAAAGUGACAGGUGGUGCAUGGUUGUCGUCAGCUCGUGUCGUGAGAUGUUGGGUUAAGUCCCGCAACGAGCGCAACCCUUAAGCUUAGUUGCCAUCAUUAAGUUGGGCACUCUAAGUUGACUGCCGGUGACAAACCGGAGGAAGGUGGGGAUGACGUCAAAUCAUCAUGCCCCUUAUGAUUUGGGCUACACACGUGCUACAAUGGACAAUACAAAGGGCAGCGAAACCGUGAGGUCAAGCAAAUCCCAUAAAGUUGUUCUCAGUUCGGAUUGUAGUCUGCAACUCGACUACAUGAAGCUGGAAUCGCUAGUAAUCGUAGAUCAGCAUGCUACGGUGAAUACGUUCCCGGGUCU
This 1372-nucleotide ribosomal RNA is filed under the name uncultured bacterium. Its description in RNAcentral is "bacterial SSU rRNA". It matches the Rfam family "Bacterial small subunit ribosomal RNA", at positions 28 to 1381 of the family's 1533-position model. The record is from RNAcentral.